Molecule: ribosomal RNA, 450 nt
Filed under: uncultured bacterium
Lineage: Bacteria
Description: partial 16S ribosomal RNA
Rfam family: Bacterial small subunit ribosomal RNA
Source: RNAcentral
GUGGGGAAUUUUGGACAAUGGGCGCAAGCCUGAUCCAGCAAUGCCGCGUGCAGGAAGAAGGCCUUCGGGUUGUAAACUGCUUUUGUACGGAACGAAACGGUCCGGGUUAAUACCCUGGGCUAAUGACGGUACCGUAAGAAUAAGCACCGGCUAACUACGUGCCAGCAGCCGCGGUAAUACGUAGGGUGCAAGCGUUAAUCGGAAUUACUGGGCGUAAAGCGUGCGCAGGCGGUGCUGUAAGACAGGCGUGAAAUCCCCGGGCUCAACCUGGGAAUUGCGCUUGUGACUGCAGUGCUGGAGUGCGGCAGAGGGGGAUGGAAUUCCGCGUGUAGCAGUGAAAUGCGUAGAUAUGCGGAGGAACACCGAUGGCGAAGGCAAUCCCCUGGGCCUACACUGACGCUCAUGCACGAAAGCGUGGGGAGCAAACAGGAUUAGAAACCCGGGUAGUCC